AGUUUGAUCAUGGCUCGAGGACGAACGCUGGCGGCGUGCUUAACACAUGCAAGUCGAACGGUGACCCAGGGCUUGCCCUGGUGAUCAGUGGCGAACGGGUGAGUAACACGUGGGCAACCUGCCCCUGACUUCGGGAUAACUCCUCGAAAGAGGAGCUAAUACCGGAUACGACCACUUCGGACAUCCGAUGGUGGUGGAAAGUUUUUCGGUCAGGGAUGGGCCCGCGGCCUAUCAGCUAGUUGGUGGGGUAAUGGCCUACCAAGGCGACGACGGGUAGCCGGCCUGAGAGGGCGACCGGCCACACUGGGACUGAGACACGGCCCAGACUCCUACGGGAGGCAGCAGUGGGGAAUAUUGCGCAAUGGGCGAAAGCCUGACGCAGCGACGCCGCGUGAGGGAUGAAGGCCUUCGGGUUGUAAACCUCUUUCAGCAGGGACGAAGCGAAAGUGACGGUACCUGCAGAAGAAGCACCGGCUAACUACGUG
RNAcentral lists this ribosomal RNA (485 nucleotides) under uncultured bacterium. RNAcentral's name for it is "bacterial SSU rRNA". It matches the Rfam family "Bacterial small subunit ribosomal RNA", at positions 10 to 507 of the family's 1533-position model. The record is from RNAcentral.